CCCUUAGAUGUUCUGGGCCGCACACGCGCUACACUGAAGGAGGCAGCGUGUACUCCUGGAUCGAAAGAUUUGGGUAACCCGCGAAUCUCCUUCGUGCUAGGGAUUGAGGUUUGCAAUUAUCCUUCAUGAACGAGGAAUUCCCAGUAAGUGCAAGUCAUAAGCUUGCGCUGACUACGUCCCUGCCCUUUGUACACACCGCCCGUCGCUACUACCGAUUGAAUGAUUUAGUGAGGACUUCGGACUGGGACCGAUGCGGCUUUCGGGCUGCGUCGGUAUUCUGGAAAGAUGUUCAAACUGUAUCAUUUAGAGGAAGUAAAAGUCGUAACA
RNAcentral lists this ribosomal RNA (327 nucleotides) under uncultured eukaryote. RNAcentral's name for it is "partial 18S ribosomal RNA". It matches the Rfam family "Eukaryotic small subunit ribosomal RNA", at positions 1470 to 1796 of the family's 1831-position model. The record is from RNAcentral.